GGGAGGCUUGGUGCAGGAAGGUUGGGGUGGGGGGACAAGGGACAGGGAGGAUUGGCGGAGCGAAAGGCAGAGAAGCCCAGGGUAGCAGGACAAGGGGAAGGGGAGGGGUGCCAGGAACCUGGGGCCCUUGGAUGGAGAAGGGGGAUGAAGCAGGCCAGGUUUGGAACAGGGGAAGGGGGAGGACGGCUGUAAGGAGGGGCGCCUGGGAGGAGAAGUGAGGCUGAAGGCGAAAAGAAGAGUGUGGGUUUGGGGGAAGGAAAACCGGAGCAGGUAUGGAGGCCGCAGCCCAGAAGGUAGCAAUGGGGCCAGACUGGAGCCCCCCGGGUGGGAUUGAGGGGCGGGGACUGGAAGAGGAAAACCAGGGGGCCUCCCAAAUCCUGGAGGAAGAAGAAGUGGGGUGCAAUGUACGCAAGUAGGCCCUGGGCAUAACUCUGCCUGUAGGUGUGUCCAGUUCUGUGUAGCAGAUUUGUGUGUGUCUGGAGGUCUGUGUGUGUGUCUGUGGGUGUGUCUGUGGGUGUUUAUGUCUGUGUGCCUGUCUGUCCCUAGGUUUCUGUUUACCUAUGCCAAUCUCUGUGUCUGGUCCUCUGUCUGUAGAUGUGGGUCGGUGGCUCCGUGGUUUGUGUGUCUGAAUGUGUACUUGUGUAGCUGAGGGGUUGCAGUCCGUUUGUGGGGCCUGUAUGGGUGGUGGAUCGGGAUGUCUUUACACAAGAAGGGAAUCUGUGUUGACCUGGUCUCUCCAGAGUGUGUAUUUGGGGCUCUGAACACCUUUGUCGGGGUCUGUGUCUGUCUUGUCUGUG
RNAcentral lists this long non-coding RNA (797 nucleotides) under Pan troglodytes (chimpanzee). Its description in RNAcentral is "long non-coding RNA NONPTRT015796". The record is from RNAcentral. Lineage: Eukaryota; Metazoa; Chordata; Mammalia; Primates; Hominidae.